This is a small nucleolar RNA of Hevea brasiliensis (rubber tree), 107 nucleotides long. The record is from RefSeq and is a predicted model, not a curated record. Lineage: Eukaryota; Viridiplantae; Streptophyta; Magnoliopsida; Malpighiales; Euphorbiaceae.
AUCCCAUGGUGUGGACAUCUCCAUUGUAAAUCCUUAUAUCUCUCCCAUACUUCAUACAAGUUCUCAUCAUUUCUAGGUCUGAAAGAAGUUAGCUCAUUUCAUAGUUU